UACGUAGGGUGCGAGCGUUGUCCGGAAUUAUUGGGCGUAAAGGGCGCGUAGGCGGCCAUGCGUGUCUUCCGUGAAAUCCCUCGGCUUAACUGAGGACGUGCGGAAGAAACUGCAAGGCUUGAGUCCGGGAGAGGGGGGUGGAAUUCCCAGUGUAGCGGUGAAAUGCGUAGAUAUUGGGAGGAACACCGGUGGCGAAGGCGGCCCCCUGGACCGGUACUGACGCUGAGGCGCGAAAGCGUGGGUAGCAAACGGG
RNAcentral lists this ribosomal RNA (253 nucleotides) under uncultured bacterium. Its description in RNAcentral is "partial 16S ribosomal RNA". It matches the Rfam family "Bacterial small subunit ribosomal RNA", at positions 524 to 776 of the family's 1533-position model. The record is from RNAcentral.